This 482-nucleotide ribosomal RNA is filed under the name uncultured bacterium. Its description in RNAcentral is "partial 16S ribosomal RNA". It matches the Rfam family "Bacterial small subunit ribosomal RNA", at positions 28 to 523 of the family's 1533-position model. The record is from RNAcentral.
GACGAACGCUGGCGGCGUGCUUAACACAUGCAAGUCGAACGAUGAAGCUAGAGCUUGCUCUGGUGAAUUAGUGGCGAACGGGUGAGUAACACGUGAGUAACCUGCCCCGAACUCUGGGAUAACUGCUGGAAACGGUAGCUAAUACUGGAUACGACCUACGAGGGCAUCUUCUGUAGGUGGAAAGAAUUUCGGUUCGGGAUGGACUCGCGGCCUAUCAGCUUGUUGGUGAGGUAAUGGCUCACCAAGGCGACGACGGGUAGCCGGCCUGAGAGGGUGACCGGCCACUGGGACUGAGACACGGCCCGGACUCCUACGGGAGGCAGCAGUGGGGAAUAUUGCACAAUGGGCGCAAGCCUGAUGCAGCAACGCCGCGUGAGGGAUGACGGCCUUCGGGUUGUAAACCUCUUUUAGUAGGGAAGAAGCGAAAGUGACGGUACCUGCAGAAAAAGCACCGGCUAACUACGUGCCAGCAGCCGCCGUAA